This 2701-nucleotide long non-coding RNA is filed under the name Anser brachyrhynchus (Pink-footed goose). RNAcentral's name for it is "lncRNA (ENSABRG00000009435.1)". The record is from RNAcentral. Lineage: Eukaryota; Metazoa; Chordata; Aves; Anseriformes; Anatidae.
GUCUCAUCCCUUAAGGAGCUCACGGGUGCCUACGACGGGAGCUCGGACUCGUUUCUGCCCGUGUCCGAACGGCUGCGGGGGCAGAAGGGCAGCCGGGGGGAGCCAGGAGAGAGGGGCCCCCCAGGACGGGAGGGCUCCUUAGGCUUCCCCGGUGAGCGAGGACCCAAAGGUGACAAAGGGGACCAAGGCGCCCCCGGCCCCCAGGGCCCUGCAGGCCGGGCUGUGGGCGAGCGGGGCCCCGAGGGGCCGCCCGGGCAGCCGGGGGAGCCUGGCAAGCCGGGCAUCCCGGGGGUGCCGGGCCGGGCCGGGGAGCUGGGGGAGGCCGGGCGGCCCGGCGAGAAGGUGAGUGAGGGGGUGCGGGCUGGGGGACCUGGCCCCCGUGCUUGGGGACAGCUCCGUGACCUCCCACUGCCUCCUUUCCCCAGGGCGACCGGGGUGAGAAGGGCGACCGGGGUGAGCAGGUGAGCCCAAACCAGGACAGCGUCCCAGUGUCCCCCCUCUGUCCCCCGCUGCUGUGAUGGGGAGAUCCCCGGGGGGCACAGGGCUGCCCCAUGGGGGCCAGGGUCAGCCACGCAAGGGCUGGCUCUGCCCCCUUUUCCUCCGCUGUCCCUUUGAUGCUCCCCCUAUUUUCCUUAUGGCUAGGGCAGAGAUGGCUUGCCAGGCCCCCCAGGCCCCCCAGGGCCCAAGGUAGGUGACGGAUGCUGCCGGGGACCCUCUCCAAGAGGUGCCAGUUGGUGCCUCUGUGGUGGGCGUCCACGUCUGGCCCCCCGGCACAGGGGCUCAGGGAGGGCUGUGCCACUGGGGGACCUCCCAGGGGUCCCCUGGGUGCCAGCCCUGACGGCGCUGUGCCCGCAGGCAGAUGUGAUGGAGGGCAGCCUGAUGGGCUUCCCAGGGGAGCGCGGCCCCCCCGGACCCAAGGGAGCGAAGGGUGAGCCGGGUGCCGAGGGCGAGCGAGGACCCAAAGGAGAUAAGGGCGAAGGCGGGCCGCGGGGCGAGCGAGGAGAGCCUGGCGAGAAGGGCAGGGAUGGCUCCCCGGUGAGUAUGGCACUGGACCUCAGUCCCCAUCAUCCCCAUGGUCUCCAUCCCCAUGGUCCUCAUCCUCAUCCCCAUGGUCUCCAUUCCUGUCUCCAUCAUUCCCGUCCCCAUCAUCCCCACGGUCUCCAUUCCCGUCCUCAUCAUCCCCAUGGUCUUCAUCCCCAUCCUCAUCCUCAUGCUCAUGGUCUCCACCCCCAACUCCAUCAUCCCCAUCCUCCUCAUCCCCAUGGUCUCCACCUCCAUUUCCAUCUUCCCCAUCCCCCAUCUCCGUUCCCGUCUCCAUCUCCGUUCCCGUCUCCAUCUCCGUUCCCGUCUCCAUCUCCGUUCCCGUCUCCAUCUCCGUUCCCGUCUCCAUCUCCAUUCCCGUCUCCAUCUCCAUUCCCGUCUCCAUCUCCAUUCCAUCUCCACCAUCCCCGUGGCCCCAUCUCCACCCCACUGUCUCCACCUCUUCUUCCAGGGCCUUCCAGGAGAGAGGGGUCUGGCUGGCCCCGAGGGGAAGCCGGUGAGUGGGGAUGCGGGGGGGAUGUGUUCUGGGAGGGGUGGGAAGGUCCCGUGGUCCCACAGCAGCUGCCACCAGCCCCAGCGGGAGCAUUCACAUGUUGUUUGACUCCUUCCCUCCCCCACAGGGCCCGCAGGGCUUUAGAGGGCCCCCCGGCCCCCCAGUAAGUACCCCGCAGCCGGGUACUGCGCAGUGGCACCGUGCUCAUCCCCUGGGGAGCUUCUGGGGCAAGCGGGGCCGCUCGGAGGUGCCGGGGUCCCGCUUACCCCCUGGCUCUGACAUGCUUCUUUGCAGGGCUUGCCAGGCUUCCCCGGCGUGCUGGGACGCCCGGUAGGUGUCCGCCCCCCCCUGCAUGUCACCGUCCCCCUGCAUGUCACCGUCCCCCUGGCUCUUGCUCCGUGGGCGCUUGGCACGGCGCAUCCUGGUGGGAUCUGGCCGGGCUUGUCCCUGCUUGGUGUGGGUGCCCAGAGCCACCGUGCACCGGGGACCCGCUGACCGCAUCUCUUCCUCCCCCCCAGGGCAACCAGGGAGAGCCGGGGCCACCAGGACCUCCGGUAAGGACACCCCCCGUGUCCCCGUGCUGGGACCGCGCUGUCCUGCUGCCCCCUCCUCGUCCCGAGGAGCCGUGCCACCAGCAGGCACCACGAGGACAUAAUGUCACCUUGUUCCCUGCAGGGCACCGCUGGCCCCCCAGGGACGCAGGGCCCAGCUGGGAUGAAGGUACAUCAUCAUCAUCACCACCACCACCACAUUUGACCCUGCAGAAGAAAGCACGGUGCCCUGCUGGCACUGGGGGCCGUGGGGAAAAAAGUGGGGCUGGUCCCCUGCUGGAGCCAGCCCCUGGGGGGUUCAGGGGACGUGGGGACGCGGUGUGGCUGCGGUGGCAGGGGCGUCGGGGCACGGGGACCGAUGCAGGUGCUGUCUCCACAGGGUGACCCGGGGGAGCCUGGUGCCAGCAUCCGGGUGAGCCUCCACUCCCUCCCCACCAGCGCCAGCCUGGUCCCCAAACCCACAGCCCUUCCCAGGGGACAGCUGAUGUCCCGGCUGUCCCAGAGAGAUGUGCCAGGGUGGCAUCUCCUCUCUGACCCCGCUUUUUCCAUUGCAGGGCUUGCCCGGUCCCCAGGGCAGCAUGGGACUGCCUGGCCCCCCUGGCCCCCCCGGCCUGGU